This 460-nucleotide ribosomal RNA is filed under the name uncultured bacterium. RNAcentral describes it as "partial 16S ribosomal RNA". It matches the Rfam family "Bacterial small subunit ribosomal RNA", at positions 338 to 795 of the family's 1533-position model. The record is from RNAcentral.
CCUACGGGAGGCAGCAGUGAGGAAUAUUGGUCAAUGGACGAGAGUCUGAACCAGCCAAGUAGCGUGAAGGAUGACUGCCCUAUGGGUUGUAAACUUCUUUUAUAUGGGAAUAAAAUGUUCCACGUGUGGGGUUUUGUAUGUACCAUAUGAAUAAGGAUCGGCUAACUCCGUGCCAGCAGCCGCGGUAAUACGGAGGAUCCGAGCGUUAUCCGGAUUUAUUGGGUUUAAAGGGAGCGUAGGCGGAGUGUUAAGUCAGUUGUGAAAGUUUGCGGCUCAACCGUAAAAUUGCAGUUGAAACUGGGAGUCUUGAGUACAGUAGAGGUAGGCGGAAUGCGUGGUGUAGCGGUGAAAUGCUUAGAUAUCACGAAGAACUCCGAUUGCGAAGGCAGCUUACUGGACUGCAACUGACGCUGAUGCUCGAAAGUGUGGGUAUCAAACAGGAUUAGAUACCCGAGUAGUC